GUUAUAUGAUAGGAGCUCUCUCUCUCCAUCUCUGAAAGGAGGUGAAGGUGUGUGGCACGGCUUCUAGUUCAUGGAAUAUCCAGUGGGUGCGGUUAUGGUGCGAGUGGGCGCACCCUCAGGGUUUGCAUGUGCUUGAAGACGUGGUUACCUUUCUUCUUUUUGGCAUUGGGGUGAAGGGAGCUCCUCUUGUCUUUCCU
Molecule: microRNA precursor, 197 nt
Filed under: Jatropha curcas
Lineage: Eukaryota; Viridiplantae; Streptophyta; Magnoliopsida; Malpighiales; Euphorbiaceae
Description: MIR159 microRNA precursor family
Rfam family: MIR159 microRNA precursor family
Source: Rfam by way of RNAcentral